This 32-nucleotide transfer RNA is filed under the name Thecabius beijingensis. Its description in RNAcentral is "partial tRNA-Leu". The record is from RNAcentral. Lineage: Eukaryota; Metazoa; Arthropoda; Insecta; Hemiptera; Aphididae.
CAUUAAUAAAGAUUAAUCUUUUUUUAGAAAUU